GAGGGUAUAGCUCAGUGGUAGAGCACGUGCUUAGCACGCACGAGGUCCUGGGUUCAAUCCCCAGUACCUCCA
Molecule: transfer RNA, 72 nt
Filed under: Camelus bactrianus (Bactrian camel)
Lineage: Eukaryota; Metazoa; Chordata; Mammalia; Artiodactyla; Camelidae
Also listed under: 2 other names
Rfam family: tRNA
About the family: Transfer RNA (tRNA) molecules are approximately 80 nucleotides in length.
Source: Rfam by way of RNAcentral